This 511-nucleotide ribosomal RNA is filed under the name Staphylococcus aureus. Its description in RNAcentral is "partial 23S ribosomal RNA". It matches the Rfam family "Bacterial large subunit ribosomal RNA", at positions 744 to 1258 of the family's 2925-position model. Lineage: Bacteria; Bacillati; Bacillota; Bacilli; Caryophanales; Staphylococcaceae. The record is from RNAcentral.
GUUGAAGUUCAGGUAACACUGAAUGGAGGACCGAACCGACUUACGUUGAAAAGUGAGCGGAUGAACUGAGGGUAGCGGAGAAAUUCCAAUCGAACCUGGAGAUAGCUGGUUCUCUCCGAAAUAGCUUUAGGGCUAGCCUCAAGUGAUGAUUAUUGGAGGUAGAGCACUGUUUGGACGAGGGGCCCCUCUCGGGUUACCGAAUUCAGACAAACUCCGAAUGCCAAUUAAUUUAACUUGGGAGUCAGAACAUGGGUGAUAAGGUCCGUGUUCGAAAGGGAAACAGCCCAGACCACCAGCUAAGGUCCCAAAAUAUAUGUUAAGUGGAAAAGGAUGUGGCGUUGCCCAGACAACUAGGAUGUUGGCUUAGAAGCAGCCAUCAUUUAAAGAGUGCGUAAUAGCUCACUAGUCGAGUGACACUGCGCCGAAAAUGUACCGGGGCUAAACAUAUUACCGAAGCUGUGGAUUGUCCUUUGGACAAUGGUAGGAGAGCGUUCUAAGGGCGUUGAAGCAU